CAGUCGCCGCGGGAAUACGGUGGGUGCAAGCGUUAAUCGGAAUUACUGGGCGUAAAGGGCGCGUAGGCGGCGAUCAAAGUCAGGCGUGAAAUUCCUGGGCUCAACCUGGGGGGUGCGUUUGAUACUUGAUUGCUAGAGUGGGGAAGAGGGUCGUGGAAUUCCCAGUGUAGAGGUGAAAUUCGUAGAUAUUGGGAAGAACACCGGUGGCGAAGGCGGCGACCUGGUCCUCGACUGACGCUGAGGCGCGAAAGCGUGGGGAGCAAACAGGAUUAGAUACCCCUGUAGUCCCUGUUCUUAUACA
This 301-nucleotide ribosomal RNA is filed under the name uncultured bacterium. RNAcentral's name for it is "partial 16S ribosomal RNA". It matches the Rfam family "Bacterial small subunit ribosomal RNA", at positions 509 to 809 of the family's 1533-position model. The record is from RNAcentral.